GAACACGACGGAGAGAGGGUCGAGGCAGAGGAGGCCCCUUCCAUGAUUUCCCAUUCACUACGAAUCUUCACCAGUGCUUUCGGUGUUCUAUCUCUCAUCUCUUCUCUCUUUCUUUUCUCGUUCACUUUCUUGUUCUUCCUUUCAUGAGAUCCUUGGUCCUCCUAGGGUUUUGAACAAAUGCCGAGUGUUUCUGACCUAGGGUUUCGAUUCUUGCUUCACUUGUUUUUUUGAGUUCCAGUGAAAAUUAACUGUUUCUUGUUCCAGUGGGGAUUUUCAUCGAUUCUUGGAGGGUUUUAGCUUGUGGGGUUUUGAUUCAUUGUUAGUUUCUUCUAUUUCUUGAUUCGUAUUAUCAUUAAUAUUUUUCUGUUUUAGUUUCAAAAACUGAAACUAAGGGAAGUGACAGAAGGGCGGUAACUUAACCGAGUAGAUGAUGAAGAAAGAGAGGAUCUUGGUGCAGCACCAAUGGACAUAACGCCUUGCUUUAACCAAAUAUGAAUGAAACUUCUAAUCAAAUGGAGGGCAAAGGGUGAAGGAAGUAGGGACCAUGGUGGCUUAGAUGCAUGGGAAGGACUCUGAUGGAACUGAUGAUGAGAGGAGAGGAUCAGGACAAUCAGGGUUGUAAUGGUGGAAAGAGAUGAUGGGAAGGAAGUAAGGAAUAGAAUAUUGUAAGAAGAUAUAUAAGAUAUAUGAAAAUUUCAUUUGUUUA
This is a non-coding RNA of Phoenix dactylifera (date palm), 706 nucleotides long. The record is from RefSeq and is a predicted model, not a curated record. NCBI's taxonomy places the organism in Eukaryota, Viridiplantae, Streptophyta, Magnoliopsida, Arecales, Arecaceae.